Molecule: non-coding RNA, 30 nt
Filed under: Macaca fascicularis (crab-eating macaque)
Lineage: Eukaryota; Metazoa; Chordata; Mammalia; Primates; Cercopithecidae
Also listed under: 1 other name
Source: RNAcentral
UUCUAUAUACAGUAGAAAGUUCUUGAAAGC